UACGUAGGUGGCAAGCGUUGUCCGGAAUUAUUGGGCGUAAAGCGCGCGCAGGCGGUCUCUUAAGUCUGAUGUGAAAGCCCCCGGCUCAACCGGGGAGGGUCAUUGGAAACUGGGAGACUUGAGUGCAGAAGAGAAGAGUGGAAUUCCACGUGUAGCGGUGAAAUGCGUAGAGAUGUGGAGGAACACCAGUGGCGAAGGCGGCAUCCUGGACCGGCAUUGACGCUGAUGAGCGAAAGCCAGGGGAGCAAACGGG
This 253-nucleotide ribosomal RNA is filed under the name uncultured bacterium. Its description in RNAcentral is "partial 16S ribosomal RNA". It matches the Rfam family "Bacterial small subunit ribosomal RNA", at positions 524 to 776 of the family's 1533-position model. The record is from RNAcentral.